GAGUAACGCAUCGGAACGUACCCGAGUAAUGGGGGAUAACUGUCCGAAAGGACAGCUAAUUCCGCCUACGGCCCUGAGGGGGAAAGCGGGGAUCUUAGGACCUCGCGUUAUUCGAGCGGCCGAUGUCUGAUUAGCUGGUUGGCGGGGUAAAGGCCCAUCCAAGGCGACGAUCAGUAGCGGGUCUGAGAGGAUGAUCCGCCACACUGGGACUGAGACACGGCCCAGACUCCUACGGGAGGCAGCAGUGGGAAUUUUGGACAAUGGGCGCAAGCCUGAUCCAGCCAUGCCGCGUGUCUGAAGAAGGCCUUCGGGUUGUAAAGGACUUUUGUCAGGGAAGAAACUGAGCGUGCCAAUUUCCCUGCUCUG
This 366-nucleotide ribosomal RNA is filed under the name Neisseria bacilliformis. RNAcentral describes it as "bacterial SSU rRNA". It matches the Rfam family "Bacterial small subunit ribosomal RNA", at positions 108 to 476 of the family's 1533-position model. The record is from RNAcentral. Lineage: Bacteria; Pseudomonadati; Pseudomonadota; Betaproteobacteria; Neisseriales; Neisseriaceae.